Molecule: ribosomal RNA, 454 nt
Filed under: uncultured organism
Description: partial 16S ribosomal RNA
Rfam family: Bacterial small subunit ribosomal RNA
Source: RNAcentral
CGUACACUCCUACGGGAGGCAGCAGUGGGGAAUAUUGGACAAUGGGCGCAAGCCUGAUCCAGCCAUGCCGCGUGAGUGAUGAAGGCCCUAGGGUUGUAAAGCUCUUUCACCGGUGAAGAUAAUGACGGUAACCGGAGAAGAAGCCCCGGCUAACUUCGUGCCAGCAGCCGCGGUAAUACGAAGGGGGCUAGCGUUGUUCGGAUUUACUGGGCGUAAAGCGCACGUAGGCGGACUAUUAAGUCAGGGGUGAAAUCCCGGGGCUCAACCCCGGAACUGCCUUUGAUACUGGUAGUCUUGAGUUCGAGAGAGGUGAGUGGAAUUCCGAGUGUAGAGGUGAAAUUCGUAGAUAUUCGGAGGAACACCAGUGGCGAAGGCGGCUCACUGGCUCGAUACUGACGCUGAGGUGCGAAAGCGUGGGGAGCAAACAGGAUUAGAUACCCGAGUAGUCCCAUGA